AGUUUUAUAAAUAAAAUAAUUAAGAUUAUUUAAUUUAAUAAAAUUAAGAUUAUAUUAUUUAUUUUGUUGGGGUGACAGAAAAAUAUAUUUAACUUUUUUUUUUAUUUAAAACAUUUAUAAGUGGUUAAAUGAUCCAAUAUUAUUGAUUAUAAGAAAAAAUUACCUUAGGGAUAACAGCGUAAUUUUUUUUUUUAGUUCAAAUAAGAAAAAGAGUUUGCGACCUCGAUGUUGGAUUAAGAUAAAAUUUAAAUGCAGAAG
This 258-nucleotide ribosomal RNA is filed under the name Poeonoma serrata. Its description in RNAcentral is "partial 16S large subunit ribosomal RNA". The record is from RNAcentral. Lineage: Eukaryota; Metazoa; Arthropoda; Insecta; Lepidoptera; Noctuidae.